Molecule: transfer RNA, 72 nt
Filed under: Camelus dromedarius (Arabian camel)
Lineage: Eukaryota; Metazoa; Chordata; Mammalia; Artiodactyla; Camelidae
Also listed under: 1 other name
Rfam family: tRNA
About the family: Transfer RNA (tRNA) molecules are approximately 80 nucleotides in length. Their secondary structure includes four short double-helical elements and three loops (D, anti-codon, and T loops).
Source: Rfam by way of RNAcentral
GAGGGUAUAGCUCAGUGGUAGAGCACAUGCUUAGCAUGCACGAGGUCCUGGAUUCAAUCUCCAGGACUUCCA